CAAAUUUUAAUUUCGGUUAGAUUCCUUGGAGCUUUCUAUACAAACUACCUUGGAAACUUUUGAAGCAAAGUUUAGGCCAAUUAUCACGUUUCACGCAGAACCACCAGACGUCUUAAUGAAUGGAAGGGUACAUACCAAUUUAAUCGAAGAAAAAGCAAAGAAUGGAAAAGGCCGUAUACUAUCUGCCUGGUUCAGCAAAGAGUGGACCCAAUCGAAAGGCUAAAGUACCCUCGAUGUAGCCCUGACCGAGCUCUGCAGCUCUUAUCUUUUCAAGAUCUUGUCAAUUUGCUUAUCCAGACGCCCUAGCAUGCAAACUUCGACGCUUGACCGAUUUUACGACCUCGCUAAAUCGUGUAAGCUACUGUACCCGUAAAUUGAGAAGCCUGUUCGCAUACUGUGAUGAAAUUCUACGA
Molecule: long non-coding RNA, 413 nt
Organism: Eufriesea mexicana
Lineage: Eukaryota; Metazoa; Arthropoda; Insecta; Hymenoptera; Apidae
Exons: 3
Source: RefSeq, a predicted model, not a curated record